RNAcentral lists this ribosomal RNA (253 nucleotides) under uncultured bacterium. Its description in RNAcentral is "partial 16S ribosomal RNA". It matches the Rfam family "Bacterial small subunit ribosomal RNA", at positions 524 to 776 of the family's 1533-position model. The record is from RNAcentral.
UACGAAGGGGGCUAGCGUUGCUCGGAAUCACUGGGCGUAAAGCGCACGUAGGCGGAUUGUUAAGUCAGGGGUGAAAUCCUGGAGCUCAACUCCAGAACUGCCUUUGAUACUGGCGAUCUCGAGUCCGGGAGAGGUGAGUGGAACUGCGAGUGUAGAGGUGAAAUUCGUAGAUAUUCGCAAGAACACCAGUGGCGAAGGCGGCUCACUGGCCCGGUACUGACGUUGAGGUGCGAAAGCGUGGGGAGCAAACAGG